GUCCAGAGUAGCCAAGUGGACUUGGCAUCUGGCCGGUAAGCGGAACACUGUGGGUUCGAUUCCCAUCCCUGAACA
Non-coding RNA from Cordylochernes scorpioides, 75 nucleotides. The record is from the annotation of a GenBank genome assembly. Lineage: Eukaryota; Metazoa; Arthropoda; Arachnida; Pseudoscorpiones; Chernetidae.